RNAcentral lists this small nuclear RNA (120 nucleotides) under Microcebus murinus (gray mouse lemur). RNAcentral's name for it is "U2 spliceosomal RNA (ENSMICG00000023880.3)". The stretch from base 1 to 99 matches the Rfam family "U2 spliceosomal RNA". From Rfam's summary of the family: U2 is a small nuclear RNA (snRNA) component of the spliceosome (involved in pre-mRNA splicing). The record is from RNAcentral. Lineage: Eukaryota; Metazoa; Chordata; Mammalia; Primates; Cheirogaleidae.
AUUGCUUCUUGUCCUUUUGGGUAAGAUCAGGUGUAGUAUCUGUUCUUAUCAGUUUAAUAUCUGAUAUGUUCUAAACUAUUUUAAAAAAAUUAAAAAAAUAAAAAUGCAGUUUUAGCACCU